RNAcentral lists this ribosomal RNA (321 nucleotides) under uncultured eukaryote. Its description in RNAcentral is "partial 18S ribosomal RNA". It matches the Rfam family "Eukaryotic small subunit ribosomal RNA", at positions 1470 to 1796 of the family's 1831-position model. The record is from RNAcentral.
CCCUUAGAUGUUCUGGGCCGCACGCGCGCUACACUGAUGCAUUCAACGAGUCUAAAACCUGGUCUGAUAGGGCUGGGUAAUCUUUGAACGCUGUUCGUGAUUGGGAUAGACCUUUGCAAUUAUGGGUCUUCAACGAGGAAUUCCUAGUAAACGCAAGUCAUCAGCUUGCAUUGAUUACGUCCCUGCCCUUUGUACACACCGCCCGUCGCACCUACCGAUUGAAUGGUCCGGUGAAAUCUCGGGACGGCGGCUUGGUCGCUUGCGUCCGACUGCUGAAACUUGAUUAAACCAUAUCAUUUAGAGGAAGGUGAAGUCGUAACA